Molecule: small RNA, 520 nt
Filed under: uncultured Glomus
Lineage: Eukaryota; Fungi; Glomeromycota; Glomeromycetes; Glomerales; Glomeraceae
Description: SSU rRNA
Rfam family: Eukaryotic small subunit ribosomal RNA
Source: RNAcentral
AGCAGCCGCGGUAAUUCCAGCUCCAAUAGCGUAUAUUAAAGUUGUUGCAGUUAAAAAGCUCGUAGUUGAAUUUCGGGAUCAAUACGUCGGUCGUGCUUCGGUACGUACUGGCGUCAUUGAUUUCUCCCUUCUGACGAACCAUGAUGUCAUUAACUUGGUGUCAUGGGAAAUCAGGACUGUUACUUUGAAAAAAUUAGAGUGUUUAAAGCAGGCUCACGCUUGAAUACAUUAGCAUGGAAUAAUGAAAUAGGACGUUCGAUCCUAUUUUGUUGGUUUUUAGGAUCAACGUAAUGAUUAAUAGGGAUAGUUGGGGGCAUUAGUAUUCAAUUGUCAGAGGUGAAAUUCUUGGAUUUAUUGAAGACUAACUACUGCGAAAGCAUUUGCCAAGGAUGUUUUCAUUAAUCAAGAACGAAAGUUAGGGGAUCGAAGACGAUCAGAUACCGUCGUAGUCUUAACCAUAAACUAUGCCGACUAGGGAUCGGAUGAUGUUAAUUUUUUAAUGACUCAUUCGGCGCCUUAC